GUGCACACUUCCGCAGCAUAUAUACUAAAAUUAGAACAAAACAGAGAAGACUAGUAUGGCCCCAGGGCAAGAAUGACAUGCAAAUCCAUGAAAUAUUCCAUAUUAAA
Small nuclear RNA from Sciurus vulgaris (Eurasian red squirrel), 107 nucleotides. The record is from Ensembl. NCBI's taxonomy places the organism in Eukaryota, Metazoa, Chordata, Mammalia, Rodentia, Sciuridae.